AUUGAACGCUGGCGGCAGGCCUAACACAUGCAAGUCGAGCGGAUGAAGGGAGCUUGCUCCUGGAUUCAGCGGCGGACGGGUGAGUAAUGCCUAGGAAUCUGCCUGGUAGUGGGGGAUAACGUCCGGAAACGGGCGCUAAUACCGCAUACGUCCUGAGGGAGAAAGUGGGGGAUCUUCGGACCUCACGCUAUCAGAUGAGCCUAGGUCGGAUUAGCUAGUUGGUGGGGUAAAGGCCUACCAAGGCGACGAUCCGUAACUGGUCUGAGAGGAUGAUCAGUCACACUGGAACUGAGACACGGUCCAGACUCCUACGGGAGGCAGCAGUGGGGAAUAUUGGACAAUGUGCGAAAGCCUGAUCCAGCCAUGCCGCGUGUGUGAAGAAGGUCUUCGGAUUGUAAAGCACUUUAAGUUGGGAGGAAGGGCAGUAAGUUAAUACCUUGCUGUUUUGACGUUACCAACAGAAUAAGCACCGGCUAACUUCGUG
This 484-nucleotide ribosomal RNA is filed under the name uncultured bacterium. RNAcentral's name for it is "partial 16S ribosomal RNA". It matches the Rfam family "Bacterial small subunit ribosomal RNA", at positions 30 to 507 of the family's 1533-position model. The record is from RNAcentral.